GACGAACGCUGGCGGCGUGCUUAACACAUGCAAGUCGAACGGAAAGACCCUGCUUUUGUGGGGUGCUCGAGUGGCGAACGGGUGAGUAACACGUGAGUAACCUGCCCUUGACUUUGGGAUAACUUCAGGAAACUGGGGCUAAUACCGGAUAGGAGCUCCUGCUGCAUGGUGGGGGUUGGAAAGUUUCGGCGGUUGGGGAUGGACUCGCGGCUUAUCAGCUUGUUGGUGGGGUAGUGGCUUACCAAGGCUUUGACGGGUAGCCGGCCUGAGAGGGUGACCGGCCACAUUGGGACUGAGAUACGGCCCAGACUCCUACGGGAGGCAGCGGUGGGGAAUAUUGCACAAUGGGCGGAAGCCUGAUGCAGCAACGCCGCGUGCGGGAUGACGGCCUUCGGGUUGUAAACCGCUUUCGCCUGUGACGAAGCGUGAGUGACGGUAAUGGGUAAAGAAGCACCGGCUAACUACGUGC
RNAcentral lists this ribosomal RNA (469 nucleotides) under uncultured bacterium. Its description in RNAcentral is "partial 16S ribosomal RNA". It matches the Rfam family "Bacterial small subunit ribosomal RNA", at positions 28 to 508 of the family's 1533-position model. The record is from RNAcentral.